CAUUAGAUGGCCGAAAGCAAGCAAUGGAAUUUUAAAUCAUAUUAUAUCAGUAUAGCAACUGUUUCUAAUG
Molecule: transfer RNA, 70 nt
Filed under: Pyrrhidium sanguineum
Lineage: Eukaryota; Metazoa; Arthropoda; Insecta; Coleoptera; Cerambycidae
Description: tRNA-Lys
Source: RNAcentral